GAUGAAGAACGUAGCGAAAUGCGAUACUUGGUGUGAAUUGCAGAAUCCCGUGAACCAUCGAGUCUUUGAACGCAAGUUGCGCCCGAAGCCAUUAGGCCGAGGGCACGCCUGCCUGGGCGUCACACGUCGUUGCCCCCCCAUCUACUCCUUCGGGAUUGCGGGGGGCGGAUGAUGGCCUCCCGUGCGCCUCGUCGCGCGGUUGGCAUAAAUGCCAAGUCCUCGGCGACGCACGCCACGACAAUCGGUGGUUGCGAAACCUCGGUUGCCCGUCGUGUGCGUUCGUCGCGCAUCGAGGGCUCGAAAAAAUGCUCGGCUCCGGCUCGGCUUUCAACGCGACCCCAGGUCAGGCGGGGUUACCCGCUGAAUUUAAGCAUAUCAAUAAGCGGAGGA
Molecule: unclassified non-coding RNA, 390 nt
Filed under: soil metagenome
Description: partial contains 5.8S ribosomal RNA, internal transcribed spacer 2, and large subunit ribosomal RNA
Rfam family: 5.8S ribosomal RNA (bases 1-122)
Source: RNAcentral